This 1271-nucleotide small RNA is filed under the name Pan troglodytes (chimpanzee). RNAcentral describes it as "retained intron". The record is from RNAcentral. Lineage: Eukaryota; Metazoa; Chordata; Mammalia; Primates; Hominidae.
GAAUUCCCUUUGCAGGUUGUAUGAAAUCUUGGAAUUGGCUGAGGACAUGGAAAUUGACAUCCCCCACGUGUGGCUCUACCUAGCGGAACUGGUAACACCCAUUCUGCAGGAAGGUGGGGUGCCCAUGGGGGAGCUGUUCAGGGAGAUUACAAAGCCUCUGAGACCGUUGGGCAAAGCUGCUUCCCUGUUGCUGGAGAUCCUGGGCCUCCUGUGCAAAAGCAUGGGUCCUAAAAAGGUGGGGACGCUGUGGCGAGAAGCCAGGCUUAGCUGGAAGGAAUUUCUACCUGAAGGCCAGGACAUUGGUGCAUUCGUCGCUGAACAGAAGGUGGAGUAUACCCUGGGAGAGGAGUCGGAAGCCCCUGGCCAGAGGGCACUCCCCUCCGAGGAGCUGAACAGGCAGCUGGAGAAGCUGCUGAAGGAGGGCAGCAGUAACCAGCGGGUGUUCGACUGGAUAGAGGCCAACCUGAGUGAGCAGCAGAUAGUAUCCAACACGUUAGUUCGAGCCCUCAUGACGGCUGUCUGCUAUUCUGCAAUUAUUUUUGAGACUCCCCUCCGAGUGGACGUUGCAGUGCUGAAAGCGCGAGCGAAGCUGCUGCAGAAAUACCUGUGUGACGAGCAGAAGGAGCUACAGGCGCUCUACGCCCUCCAGGCCCUUGUAGUGACCUUAGAACAGCCUCCCAACCUGCUGCGGAUGUUCUUUGAUGCGCUGUAUGACGAGGACGUGGUGAAGGAGGAUGCCUUCUACAGUUGGGAGAGUAGCAAGGACCCCGCUGAGCAGCAGGGCAAGGGUGUGGCCCUUAAAUCUGUCACAGCCUUCUUCAAGUGGCUCCGUGAGGCAGAGGAGGAGUCUGACCACAACUGAGGGCUGGUGGGGCCGGGGACCUGGAGCCCCAUGGACACACAGAUGGCCCGGCUAGCCGCCUGGACUGCAGGGGGGCGGCAGCAGCGGCGGUGGCAGUGGGUGCCUGUAGUGUGAUGUGUCUGAACUAAUAAAGUGGCUGAAGAGGCAGGAUGGCUUGGGGCUGCCUGGGCCCCCCUCCAGGAUGCCGCCAGGUGUCCCUCUCCUCCCCCUGGGGCACAGAGAUAUAUUAUAUAUAAAGUCUUGAAAUUUGGUGUGUCUUGGGGUGGGGAGGGGCACCAACGCCUGCCCCUGGGGUCCUUUUUUUUAUUUUCUGAAAAUCACUCUCGGGACUACCGUCCUCGCUGCUGGGGGCAUAUGCCCCAGCCCCUGUACCACCCCUGCUGUUGCCUGGGCAGGGGGAAGGGGGGGC